GUUCUGUUGAGGUUGUAACUGGUAAAGUGACAUUAGCCCGUUAACAUUGAAAACUGAGUUAGCGUGUAACAAUAAGCACAAAUCUAUCCAUGCAAGCAUUGACCGCCAUAACCGGCGGUUUUUUUUGCGCCAGAUAAAGCAAAAACGGCUUCUUACACAUAAUGUAAGAAGCCGUCGCGGUGGGGGAUUAUCGUCGUUCAUCAAUCG
Non-coding RNA from Enterobacter cloacae S611, 207 nucleotides. Lineage: Bacteria; Pseudomonadati; Pseudomonadota; Gammaproteobacteria; Enterobacterales; Enterobacteriaceae. The record is from Rfam.